ACGAACGCUGGCGGCAUGCCUAACACAUGCAAGUCGAACGAGACCUUCGGGUCUAGUGGCGCACGGGUGCGUAACGCGUGGGAACCUGCCCUUAGGUUCGGAAUAACUCCCCGAAAGGGGUGCUAAUACCGGAUAAUGUCUUCGGACCAAAGAUUUAUCGCCUUUGGAUGGGCCCGCGUUGGAUUAGCUCGUUGGUAGGGUAAAAGCCUACCAAGGCGACGAUCCAUAGCUGGUCUGAGAGGAUGAUCAGCCACACUGGGACUGAGACACGGCCCAGACUCCUACGGGAGGCAGCAGUGGGGAAUAUUGGACAAUGGGCGAAAGCCUGAUCCAGCAAUGCCGCGUGAGUGAUGAAGGCCUUAGGGUUGUAAAGCUCUUUUACCCGGGAUGAUAAUGACAGUACCGGGAGAAUAAGCUCCGGCUAACUCCGUG
This 432-nucleotide ribosomal RNA is filed under the name uncultured bacterium. RNAcentral describes it as "partial 16S ribosomal RNA". It matches the Rfam family "Bacterial small subunit ribosomal RNA", at positions 29 to 507 of the family's 1533-position model. The record is from RNAcentral.